Molecule: long non-coding RNA, 3484 nt
Organism: Eriocheir sinensis (Chinese mitten crab)
Lineage: Eukaryota; Metazoa; Arthropoda; Malacostraca; Decapoda; Varunidae
Exons: 3
Source: RefSeq, a predicted model, not a curated record
CCUUAUUUUAUUAUUAGAGGCUUACCAUUAAAAUUUAAUGUCUCAAAAAAAACGAUUUUGCGAGUACUUUUGUAUUCUGUGGCGUCAUACCCCAAGGCGUUUUGGGGGGCAGGCUCUCUGCCCUCCCUCGCGCCCCAGGGAGAGCGGGCGGGCGAGUUCAUUUUUACGAGACAUCGCUUUGUUCUCUGAUGCUGAAAGCCAGUCGCUAAUGGGAGGCUUGCUAGCCGCCGUCAAGGCCAGGGCCAAUGGGCUUGGGCUUGUAUGGCAGAGUGUACGGGAAAAGGAAAAAAGGAACAUUGGUGUGUGUGUGUCGUGCUCAGGGGUAACCAGGGUGAAGCGCAAACACUCACAAGCUUAUAGUUAGGGCUUAAGGUGAUGAGUGAUGUUAAGACCGAGUGGGCAGGUUGUGUUAACCCCGUGUUAGUGGAAACACUUGCUAUGAUUUCUUCCCGUGUUGGUGCUACUUAUUAUCAUUUUUGCAUGUUAGUUUAAAAUGUUAGCUUCUCCAGUGUUUGCAGAGUUUAACAAGUAACUAGAUUAUAAGCUCUAAAGUGUUCUAAGUGUCGGAAUUUUGUCUCAAAUGGUUGGACCCUCUAGACCCUUUGUUCACCAUAAGAAUCUCUUAACCUAUAUGUAAGUAAUGUCAAGAAAAGUCACGCUGCCCUUAUUGGUUGGCAGAUGCUAAUCGUGUGUAUGAUAAAAUGCCUUAUAAGGUAUGGUGAAUAAACUACUAUAUUGUGUCUCUGGUGUAAAUGAUCAACACUUAAUUCUACUUUGAGGUACAAUGAACCUAAAUAAUUAAUGAGUCCCAUGCAUGUACGGCACGACACACACACACACACACACACUAAACUGUUCCUCCUACGCAGACCCCCUCUGGCUCCACUUUUCCUCCCUUUUCACUUCCUAAGACACGUCUGUGCCUUUCACUACUAAGUGCUUCAAGGUGAUCAGCCUCCUAUUAAAUUGGAGACACGAAUGGGUGAGCCCUGCCCGCGGUGCCUCACACACCAAAACACUUCCUGCCUCACUGCAUAAGAUUCCACGCCCUCCACACCAGCCUCAGAGGCGGCGACACCCUCAGCUCCAACACUGCCCUCCAAGCCCUCAGGUGUACACAGACCUUCCUGAAGGAGUCGGGGCAACUCAACAGGACCUAAUCCCUCCCUGGUGGCAGAACAACAAAACUAACAACAUCCACUAGCAUUUAAUACUGAUGGGGUUCUGGAGGCCAUGGUCCCACAACCUAACCAGCCAGAAGAACACAACACAGCGAGUAUUCCCUUGCCGUGGCCACCCCCCUGGGUGGAAGGUGACACGCCCCUGCACCAAGCAUGCCGGCCAGGGGCUGCAGGGCUGGCCAGCAGCAGGAGCAGAAUGGCAGGUGGAGGAAGGCGGGACUCGCUGAUCAAAAGCAGCCUGUCGCUGCUACUUCCAGCCACAGCCACAGAGAAAGAGGGAAGUUUGAGUGUCUGGAGUGUGGAAGUGUUCCUCUACCAGAGCGGCCUCUACUACCACACCAGCACACACAUGGGUGCAAGGAAACAUGAAUGUAAGGAUUGUGGAAAAAAAUUCAUCCAGAAGAGUGACCUCAACAAACACAUCCUCACACACACUGCUGUGAAAAACUAUGAAUGCCAUGAAUGUGGGGAAAAAUUCCUUGUUAAGUAUAGCCUCACCAGACACACCCUCAUGCACAAGGGUGAAAGUAUGAAUGUAACGAAUGUGGGAAAAAAUUCACGAAGAGUCACCUCACCAACCACGUCCUUAUACACAAGGGUGUGAAAAACCAUGAAUGUAACGAAUGUGGAAAAAAAUAUUUUGACAAGAGUCGCCUUAACAGACACAUCAUGCUCGAAUACACUGAUGGAAGAAAGCUUGAUUGCCAAGAAUGUGGAACAAUAUUCAGUAACAAGAAUGAUCUCACCAAACACACCCUCACACACCCUGGCAUAAGAGUCAAUGAAUGUCAACAAUGUAGGAGAAAAUUCAGUCAGGAGGAUGACUUCACCAAACACACCCUUCAACACGAUGCAGGAAAACAUCAGUGCCAAGAAUGUGGAAAAAAAUUCACAUUUAAGAGUGGUCUUACCAGACAUGCCCAUACACAUGCUGUUUGAGAAACUAUGAAUGCAAAGAAUGUGGAAAAACUUUCAUUACAGAGAAUUACCUCACCAUCCACACCUUUAUACACAUUGGCAUCAGAAUCUAUGAAUGCAAAGAAUGUGGAAAGAAAUUCAAAAUGAAACAUCACCUUGUAACACACACACUUACACACACUGGUGAAAAACGUCAUGAGUGUGAAGAGUGUGGUAAAAGAUUCGGUGUAAAGGCGAAAUAUAAUGAACAUGUCUUCAGGCACUACGACAUUAGAGAGUUUAAGUGUGAUAUUUUUAAGAAGCUUUUCAAAACAAAGUCUGAUGUUGCCAGUCAUAUGAAGACCCAUUUUCGAGGUGUGUCUACCUGUGCUAACUAGAAAGAUAAAGAAGAAAGAAACUCUGCCUAUGAAGUGAUAUGUCCAAGUUGAGCUGAUAAUUAAAUGUAAUGUUUGGAAAAGUUACCCAUUGCGAAGGGGUCAUUGGUGGUAGGGUGGUCAAGCCUAGACAACUGAUCAGAGGAUCAACAAGUAACUUUGGUUCGGAUUGAUUAACUCUAGCAUGUACCUGGCUCCUUCACAGUGAUGUACUGCCCCCCUCCCUUGGUGUACAUCCCCAGUCAUCACUGAAUUACAACAAUCAUGCAAGGAGGGCUGUUUUACAGGAAAAAUGGAGGAAAAGAGAUGUAUUUGAUGGAAGGAACUUAAAUACUGUCACAAAGGCAAUACUUGCUUCUAACAGGUCAACUCAACUCUUCCUCACCUUGUUGGCAGUUUGUUGGUCUGUGCCACCCUCACCCCCUCCUCCCUCCAUGCAGAGGAAGGACCAAGAGAAGCAAACAAACCUGUGAAGUGAGAUAAGGCAACAGAGGUGACAACAAGAAGGUUGUUGCUGUUGUUGUUGCACAUUUUGUCAGUGGCAAAACGUACUCAUCUGUGCCUCCCUCGCCCACUGUUACUGCUGUGACACACUCAGAGUGGCCAUGGUAGUGCAGUUUCCUGACAUUUUUUGUAUGUGGAAGAGCACCAAGUCAAAGGCAACACUGUAGUCAUCUACAACAAAGCAACUCUCAACCAAAAUCAAGAUAAAGGCCAAGACUGUCGUCCAGCUCUUUCAACCUCAUGGCUUCUAACAAGACCCCUACUAUUUCUGGCAAGUGUAGUCAUGUGGUGCAGCCUUAGUGCCAAGACACACAUCAUUAGAAGCCAUGAUGAUGGAAAGGGUUGAACAAGAUGGUCUGAGAAAUGAAGAUCUCACAUUCAACCAUCUCCACCAUCAUCCAGAGCAAUGCAAGGUACAAGGAACUGGCUGCUACUGCUGUGACUCCUAGGUCUAGAAUGUAACCUAAUUCUUAUGAAUCUGAUGGAAAUAAAUGCUAAAACAUUCAA